Ailuropoda melanoleuca (giant panda) is the source of this 192-nucleotide small nuclear RNA. Its record names the gene U2. It matches the Rfam family "U2 spliceosomal RNA". Rfam says of the family: U2 is a small nuclear RNA (snRNA) component of the spliceosome (involved in pre-mRNA splicing). Complementary binding between U2 snRNA (in an area lying towards the 5' end but 3' to hairpin I) and the branchpoint sequence (BPS) of the intron results the bulging out of an unpaired adenosine, on the BPS, which initiates a nucleophilic attack at the intronic 5' splice site, thus starting the first of two transesterification reactions that mediate splicing. NCBI's taxonomy places the organism in Eukaryota, Metazoa, Chordata, Mammalia, Carnivora, Ursidae. The record is from Ensembl.
AUUGUAUGAAAGCAAAUGUGUUAAAAUACACCCCACUAAAUCUGUUCUUAUCAGUUUAAUAUCUGAUGCAUCCUCUAGCCAAGGACAGUAUUUUAAAUGGAUUUUUGGAACUAGGAGGUGGAAUAGGAGCUUGCUCCCUCCACUCCACACAUCGACCUGGUAUUGUAGUGCUUCCAGGACACUGCACCCUCU